CCGCUUCCGGGAGGCGCCUACGGCGACCCCGCUACAGAAGGUUUGUGCGGCUCGGGGGAGCGCGGCUUCGUGGACGAAGUGGGCGGCGACUCCGCGGAACGGCAGCGCGCUGCAGCAGCCCGGCACCCUGGCCAGGAGAUGGUGGCUGUGUGAGUGCCUGCCAUGGGCGCAGGGAGCGGCAUGUUGGACCAUGGAGCAAGGCCAGGCCCUGUUCCCCACGGCCAGGAACAAAGACGAGGAGCUGCCCUUAGAAGACUAUGUGCCCGAGGGCCUGGAACUGGCUGCCCUAUGACCAGAGAGCCCCAUGCCCAAGGAGUAGAAGUGCCAUAACCACAGCCCCGAUGGGGACUCCAACUACGUGAACAACACUUCUGAGGAGGAGGACUACGACAAGGGCCUCCCUGAGGAGGAGGAGGGCAUCACCUACAACAUCUGCUACUGCCCCGAGGACAACAGCUACCUGGAGGGCAUGGACUGCUACGGGGAUGAGUAUCUGGUCCAUGGCAUGCACCCCGUGGACACCGACAAGUGCCAGGAGCAUCCACACAACAUGCCUCGUAACUGGACCAGUGAAGAGCAAAAAUCAGGUGUUUGGCACUGAAGAGCACAAUGACUACUAGUGCAGUUUGGCAUCAUUCCGUGAUUCAUGCUAAGGUGUCAGCAGAAAACUGCUGGUCAGUAAAAAAUACCAUUGCUUGCGCAUUGUCAGUGCCAUUGUCAAUACGAUGAGAAGGCAAAGUGACAUAUUACUGUGAAAAUAGUUUUUCUCUCUCAGAUGCCUUGAAAGGGUUUCAGGACUCUUGAAGUCCACAGACCACACUUUUGAACAUGGCUGCUCUACAUGAAUCUCCAUUGCUCCUCUUCUCCAGCACUACUGCCUACCCCCCAAAAAACUUUCCAAACCAACCAACAUACUGUGUUCCUCAGAUUAACAUCUAAUAUGGCACCAGCAGCAGAUAUUCUACUUCCACCUCCUGUAAUCAGUCAUUUUUCUAAAGCAUAGAUUUCUCAUCCCCUUGCUGCAAAAUCUCCAAACAGGUCCAAGUAUACAUAACAAUUUAGGAGAAGAUGAAGAUUGUAUUUUAGAUCAAUAGGGAAAGUAUAGAUGAUUAAAUAAAUAGUGUGAGGACAAUUGCGUUAACAUUGGGAAAAAAUUGAAUUACCUUCCAGUAUAUAUCAAAAUAAGUCUAAAUGAUUAUUGAUAAAAUUUAAACCAUAGAUAAGUUAGGAAUAAAGUUAAUAUGUAUCUUGAGUACAGGGUGGGAAGUCUACUUAAACGCGUAAAUCCAUGCAUUCUAGUCAAUUGAUCUUUGUCAAAGGUACCAAGAACAGAAAACGAAGCAAGAAUAAUUUCUUCAAUAAAUGAUGGGAACACUGAGUAUCCACAAGCAGAAUAAUGAAAUUAGGCGCUUAUCUCAUACGAUACACAAAAAUAAACUGAAAAUGUAUUAAAGACUUCAAUAUUUGGCCGGGCGCGGUGGCUCACGCCUGUAAUCCCAGCACUUUG
Sapajus apella (tufted capuchin) is the source of this 1507-nucleotide long non-coding RNA. RefSeq lists it as uncharacterized. The transcript is spliced from 3 exons. The record is from RefSeq and is a predicted model, not a curated record. NCBI's taxonomy places the organism in Eukaryota, Metazoa, Chordata, Mammalia, Primates, Cebidae.